RNAcentral lists this ribosomal RNA (574 nucleotides) under uncultured bacterium. Its description in RNAcentral is "partial 16S ribosomal RNA". It matches the Rfam family "Bacterial small subunit ribosomal RNA", at positions 355 to 918 of the family's 1533-position model. The record is from RNAcentral.
UGGGGAAUUUUGGACAAUGGGCGAAAGCCUGAUCCAGCAAUGCCGCGUGUGUGAAGAAGGCCUUCGGGUUGUAAAGCACUUUUGUCCGGAAAGAAAUCCUUGGCUCUAAUACAGUCGGGGGAUGACGGUACCGGAAGAAUAAGCACCGGCUAACUACGUGCCAGCAGCCGCGGUAAUACGUAGGGUGCAAGCGUUAAUCGGAAUUACUGGGCGUAAAGGCGUGCGCAGGCGGUUUGCUAAGACCGAUGUGAAAUCCCCGGGCUCAACCUGGGAACUGCAUUGGUGACUGGCAGGCUAGAGUAUGGCAGAGGGGGGUAGAAUUCCACGUGUAGCAGUGAAAUGCGUAGAGAUGUGGAGGAAUACCGAUGGCGAAGGCAGCCCCCUGGGCCAAUACUGACGCUCAUGCACGAAAGCGUGGGGGAGCAAACAGGAUUAGAUACCCUGGUAGUCCACGCCCUAAACGAUGUCAACUAGUUGUUGGGGACUUCAUUUCCUUAGUAACGUAGCUAACGCGUGAAGUUGACCGCCUGGGGGAGUACGGUCGCAAGAUUAAAACUCAAAGGAAUUGACGGGG